UCAUCUUCGGGGGUAGAGCACUGUUUCGGCUAGGGGGUCAUCCCGACUUACCAACCCGAUGCAAACUACGAAUACCGAAGAAUGUUAUCACGGGAGACACACGGCGGGUGCUAACGUCCGUCGUGAAGAGGGAAACAACCCAGACCGCCAGCUAAGGUCCCAAAGUCAUGGUUAAGUGGGAAACGAUGUGGGAAGGCACAGACAGCCAGGAUGUUGGCUUAGAAGCAGCCAUCAUUUAAAGAAAGCGUAAUAGCUCACUGGUCGAGUCGGCCUGCGCGGAAGAUGUAACGGGGCUAAACCAUGCACCGAAGCUGCGGCAGCGACACUAUGUGUUGUUGGGUAGGGGAGCGUUCUGUAAGCCUGCGAAGGUGACCUGUGAGGGUUGCUGGAGGUAUCAGAAGUGCGAAUGCUGACAUAAGUAACGAUAAAGCGGGUGAAAAGCCCGCUCGCCGGAAGACCAAGGGUUCCUGUCCAACGUUAAUCGGGGCAGGGUGAGUCGACCCCUAAGGCGAGGCCGAAAGGCGUAGUCGAUGGGAAACAGGUUAAUAUUCCUGUACUUGGUGUUACUGCGAAGGGGGGACGGAGAAGGCUAUGUUAGCCGGGCGACGGUUGUCCCGGUUUAAGCAUGUAGGCUGAUUAUCCAGGCAAAUCCGGAUAAUCAAGGCUGAGGUGUGAUGACGAGGCACUACGGUGCUGAAGUAACAAAUGCCCUGCUUCCAGGAAAAGCCUCUAAGCAUCAGGUAACAUCAAAUCGUACCCCAAACCGACACAGGUGGUCAGGUAGAGAAUACCAAGGCGCUUGAGAGAACUCGGGUGAAGGAACUAGGCAAAAUGGUGCCGUAACUUCGGGAGAAGGCACGCUGGUGUGUAGGUGA
This 875-nucleotide ribosomal RNA is filed under the name Klebsiella pneumoniae. RNAcentral's name for it is "partial 23S ribosomal RNA". It matches the Rfam family "Bacterial large subunit ribosomal RNA", at positions 890 to 1765 of the family's 2925-position model. Lineage: Bacteria; Pseudomonadati; Pseudomonadota; Gammaproteobacteria; Enterobacterales; Enterobacteriaceae. The record is from RNAcentral.